AUAACAGCUCGAAAGAGUUGCUAAUACUGGAUAACAAUGCAUUCGCAUGUUUGCAUUUAAAAGACGGUUUCGGCUGUCACUAUUGGAUGACCUCGCGUUCCGAUUAGUUUGUUGGUGGGGUAACGGCCUACCAAGACUACGAUGGAUAGGUGGCCUGAGAGGGUGGCCACCCACACUGGAACUGAGACACGGUCCAG
Molecule: ribosomal RNA, 197 nt
Filed under: uncultured bacterium
Lineage: Bacteria
Description: partial 16S ribosomal RNA
Rfam family: Bacterial small subunit ribosomal RNA
Source: RNAcentral